GGAACGCUAGCUACAGGCUUAACACAUGCAAGUCGACGUGCAGCAUCAUCAAAGCUUGCUUUGAUGGAUGGCGACCGGCGCACGGGUGAGUAACACGUAUCCAACCUGCCGACAACACUGGGAUAGCCUUUCGAAAGAAAGAUUAAUACCGGAUGGCAUAGUUUUCCCGCAUGGGAUAAUUAUUAAAGAAUUUCGGUUGUCGAUGGGGAUGCGUUCCAUUAGGCAGUUGGCGGGGUAACGGCCCACCAAACCAACGAUGGAUAGGGGUUCUGAGAGGAAGGUCCCCCACAUUGGAACUGAGACACGGUCCAAACUCCUACGGGAGGCAGCAGUGAGGAAUAUUGGUCAAUGGACGAGAGUCUGAACCAGCCAAGUAGCGUGAAGGAUGACUGCCCUAUGGGUUGUAAACUUCUUUUAUACGGGAAUAAAGUGAGCCACGUGUGGCUUUUUGUAUGUACCGUAUGAAUAAGGAUCGGCUAACUCCGUGCCAGCAGCCGCGGUAAUACGGAGGAUCCGAGCGUUAUCCGGAUUUAUUGGGUUUAAAGGGAGCGUAGGCGGGUUGUUAAGUCAGUUGUGAAAGUUUGCGGCUCAACCGUAAAAUUGCAGUUGAUACUGGCGACCUUGAGUGCAACAGAGGUAGGCGGAAUUCGUGGUGUAGCGGUGAAAUGCUUAGAUAUCACGAAGAACUCCGAUUGCGAAGGCAGCUUACUGGAUUGUAACUGACGCUGAUGCUCGAAAGUGUGGGUAUCAAACAGGAUUAGAUACCCUGGUAGUCCACACAGUAAACGAUGAAUACUCGCUGUUGGCGAUAUACAGUCAGCGGCCAAGCGAAAGCAUUAAGUAUUCCACCUGGGGAGUACGCCGGCAACGGUGAAACUCAAAGGAAUUGACGGGGGCCCGCACAAGCGGAGGAACAUGUGGUUUAAUUCGAUGAUACGCGAGGAACCUUACCCGGGCUUAAAUUGCAACUGACUGAACCGGAAACGGUUCUUUCUUCGGACAGUUGUGAAGGUGCUGCAUGGUUGUCGUCAGCUCGUGCCGUGAGGUGUCGGCUUAAGUGCCAUAACGAGCGCAACCCUUACGGGUAGUUACCAUCAGGUUAUGCUGGGGACUCUACCCGGACUGCCGUCGUAAGAUGUGAGGAAGGUGGGGAUGACGUCAAAUCAGCACGGCCCUUACGUCCGGGGCUACACACGUGUUACAAUGGGGGGUACAGAAGGCAGCUACACGGCGACGUGGUGCUAAUCCCGAAAGCCUCUCUCAGUUCGGAUUGGAGUCUGCAACCCGACUCCAUGAAGCUGGAUUCGCUAGUAAUCGCGCAUCAGCCACGGCGCGGUGAAUACGUUCCCGGGCCUUGUACACACCGCCCGUCAAGCCAUGAAAGCCGGGGGUACCUAAAGUACGUAACCGCGAGGAGCGUCCUA
RNAcentral lists this ribosomal RNA (1424 nucleotides) under uncultured organism. RNAcentral describes it as "SSU rRNA". It matches the Rfam family "Bacterial small subunit ribosomal RNA". The record is from RNAcentral.